CUCCCAUGCUUGGCAGAGUGGCCUAAUGUAGUAGGUGUCCUGUAGGUUACAGUGGCACAACCUCUCUUAUCACCAAAGCAGCGCAUUUGAGGUAUAUCUUUUGUCUGGGCG
Phyllostomus discolor (pale spear-nosed bat) is the source of this 111-nucleotide long non-coding RNA. RefSeq lists it as uncharacterized. The record is from RefSeq and is a predicted model, not a curated record. The transcript is spliced from 3 exons. NCBI's taxonomy places the organism in Eukaryota, Metazoa, Chordata, Mammalia, Chiroptera, Phyllostomidae.